UAAAAGAGUGAAAGAAAAAGAAUGGCUGCCCUCUCUUGCAAACAACGACUCAAGUACUCAGUGGUGAAAUGGUCAAGUUAUUCCUACAAUUAUGUCCCAGAAAACAUAUGUCAUGACAAACCGGGCGACCAGACUUCAAGAUGGUCUUCAGAUUCCAACAACCCUCCUCAGUAUUUGGUGCUCAAACUGGAAAGACCUGCAAUUGUGGAAACAGUAUCAUUUGGCAAGUAUGAGAAAACUCAUGUGUGCAAUCUCAAGAAAUUCAAAAUCCAUGGUGGACUCACUGAAGAUCAUAUGAUUGAAAUCCUAGACAGUGGUUUGAAGAAUGAUCACACACCAGAAUGUUUCAGUCUUCGACAUGAAAUAGAUGGCAAUCACUUUCCUUGCAGAUAUAUCAAAAUAGUCCCAAUUCAGGCCUGGGGUCCGAGUUUUAACUUCAGCAUUUGGUAUGUAGAGCUGUACGGCCGUGAUGAUUGGGAUGCUGUGAAACCGUGCAUGAACUGGUACAAUACAUAUCGGGAACGAGAAGCAAUCAGGUUGUGUUUGAAACACUUCCGACAGCGGCGGUACAUCGAGGCUUACGAAGCUCUGCAGAAGAAGACAAAGAUUGCUCUAGAGCACCCAAUACUUACAGAGUUACAUCACUCACUGGUUAUGAAAGGAGACUUUGAUGCUUGUGAAAAAUUAGUUACAAAGGCAUGUGAAGAGGGACUCUUUGACCAGUACAUAAGUCAGCAAGAUUAUAAACCCAAAUGGACAGCAAUUCAGCCAGUCAGCAAAAAUAAUGAUACCAACUCAGUGUUUCGUCCAGGGAUGCGAGGCGGACAUCAGAUGUGUAUAGAUGUACACACAGAAACAAUAUACUUGUUUGGAGGUUGGGAUGGCAAUCAUGACUUAGCGGAUCUCUGGGGUUACAAUGUUCCCACCAGACAGUGGACAUGUGUGUCAAAAAACACGGAGGAAGAGGGUGGUCCAAGUGCCCGAUCGUGUCACAAAAUGUGUCUGGAUCAUGAAAGGAAGCAGAUCUUUACACUGGGGAGAUACUUAGAUGCUUCCAUGAGGUCACAAGACAACUUAAAAUGUGACUUUUACAUGUAUGACGUGGGGUCUGGUCGGUGGACGGAAAUCACGGAAGACACAGCAGCAAUGGGGGGUCCACGUCUUAUUUUUGACCAUCAGAUGGUCAUUGAUGUUGAAAAGCAAACUAUUUAUGUUUUCGGAGGCCGGGUACUUACAAGUGCAAAUGAAAAUGAGCGAGGUCAUGAGCCAGUAUUUAGCGGGUUGUUUGGCUAUCAUAUACCAACAAACACCUGGUCCAGUCUCAUCGAGGACAGUCCAGAACUCAGGUCAAGGAUUGGUCACUCAAUGCUGUUUCAUCCAAUCCGACGAGUACUGUACAUAUUUGCUGGUCAGCGGGCAAGAGAGUAUUUAAAUGACUUCCUAACAUACAGCGUGGACACAGGGUUGGUGGAGACAAUAUCAGAUGGUACAAAGAGGGAUGGCUGUCAAGCAGUUUUGUCUUCCUCAGGUUUCACACAAAGGGCAACACUUGAUCCGGAAUUGAAUGAAAUCCAUGUACUGUCGGGACUCAGUCGAGAUAAGGAGAAACGAGAUAAUGUCAAAAACUCAUUCUGGGUUUAUGACAUUGGGAAAAACAAGUGGUCAUGCAUCUACAAAAAUGAAAACACUGGGCAGCAAUACUGGAUAAAACAGCAGCAUGUCGAACCAGUGCCGAGGUUCGCACAUCAACUGGUGUAUGACCAUGUCAGGAAGGUCCAUUACCUUUUUGGAGGGAAUCCAGGAAAAGACAGCCUACCAAAAAUGAGACUUGACGAUUUUUGGUCUCUGCAACUCUGUCGUCCGUCAGCAGAUCAUCUUCUCCGUCGGUGUCGGUACCUCAUCAGGAAGUACCGUUUUAUGGAGCUGGCUGCAAGUGAUCCGAAGAAUGCCAUGAUCUACCUGCAGAAUGAACUAGCCAACACUGUCGACCAUGCAGAUACCGAGGAGACAAGGGAGUUUCAGCUCCUUGCCUCUUCCUUGUUCAAUGAUGGUACUGAAAACGAAGCAUUGGAAGAUGCCGAUGUGAGUGAACAUUUUCAAAGUCGGACAGAUCUGUUUGAUUUGCUGGUGAACUACUUUCCUGAUCACAUGACACAACCUAAAGGAAAUCUGGUGGACUUGAUACCUCUCGACUAAACUUGGCAUUGAUAGGUUAGACUGAGAGUUGCUCAACAGUGAUCAGUCGCUUCCCCCGCGCAAUACAAUGGGCUUUCAUGUAUAGAUUUGUACUGACACAUAUACUGUUGGAAGAGGUGUGUGUCUGAUGAUGUUUAUGUGUAAUGGUGACUGAGAAGAUGCAAAAAUGUUGAUAAAAUCAGGAAUUGCAGCUGUCACAGUUACUUUCAAGAGUUUUUAGUAGAUCUUGGUGCAGUAUUGUGAACUUAAGGACAGAUCUGGUUAUUUGGAAAGGAAUUCUCUUUAAAGAGUUGGAGCGAUUUUUGUCCCAAUGCUAGGAGUUAAAAGAUUGAUAUGUGUUAUGUUGAAGCAUGUUCAUGUAUUUAUAGGCACAGGUUGUUACUCAAUUCAUCUUUACACAGAUUUGUCAAUUGUUUCUGGUUUUACUACACACUAUCAACAAUGAAAGUAAUAAUGCAUGCUUAGGUAUUUUCAGGAGAGAAUUGCUUGUACAAUGUUAAUGGUGAAAUUCUGAAGUUUUAUAUGCUGGAAUCAUCUGAGCUGAAAAAUCUAUGUUAUUAUUAAUAUUAUUGCAUGAAGAGGAAUACAUUAUUGUAUUGAAUCAGCAUGAGGUUUCGUAUGUUUUAUGUAGUAUUUGAGCAGUGUGGUUAUCUCCCUUUGACCAGCUGGCCUGGAUAGGAUUGAACUUACUGUUGAUAUUAACACACUAGUCAAACUGUGAGGCAGAAUUAUUUCCCAGUACCUGGGGCUGAUUUCAGUAGGCAGAUUUCAGGUACAAGAUGCUGGGAUUUCUGUAAUACUCUGAAACUACAACCAAAAACGCUCUGGGACAUGGAACAAAAUGACUGUAUUCUGUAAACCGUAAUUCUGGGGACAUGUCAUUUGUCGUGUAUGUUGGCUUUGGUUCACCCACACCCACACCUGAAAGUCCAAUAAUAUAUGACUAGACCAGUACCAAAAUAAUGUUCAGAUUUCUAAAAAGAUUAUUUGGAGAAUUUCGUUUCUAAUAUUGCCCCCACAUGCAUGUAUUUGGGAUCCAUUUUGGCAACCCCACAUUGUGACAUUUUGGUGUCUGUUAGAGUUGCGUAGGUUAGGGGUAGGAGGUGGAGUGGAAUGUUCCAAAUAGGUUACAAGCUUUCAAAUAUUAUCAGUCAUUAUCUUCCAGCUUUUAUGAGUGGGAAGAACAUUCUAAAGACAUUUGCUAAAGCAGGGUAAAAUGUACAAGGGUUGUCACAUGUAGAUGCAGGGUUCCAUGUAGAUGGUGUAGUAAGGUGGUUUAUUCCAUGUGAUAUAAAAACCACAUCAUAUUAUUGAAACAAUGUUUAUUUAUGGACGUUAUUUACAAGUAAUGUGUUAUUAAUUUAUUGAUGGGAGAAAAGUGACACUAUAUCAUCACGAUACAGAGCUGAUGCUGCAAGCAAUGUGAAGUGGGAGGGGGAACACAUGUUGUGGAGUUGUCCCUCUUUGGCAUGCAAGGAUCUGCUGAUCAAUGGCUUGAAUUCACCAAGAUUAUGAUCCUGCAUCUUUCAGCAUCAUACAAGUGUUCAUGAGUUUCAAUAAUCUGGUAACCAGUGCAUAUUGGUUUCACCAAAGUGGUAAGUGUCUACAACUUGGUGUUUAUCACCAUGCUUUGUUCCCAGAUCAGUUAGUCAUGCCAUGAUAUACUUGAAAUGCUGCUGAAAGUGGCUUUGCACUGAACACACUUACCAGUGUGGCAGUAGUCUUGGGUUUCCUGUUCUGAGAAACAGGUUUCUUUGAGAGGCAUAUGGAAGCUGGAGUAGUAAGUAAGGAUAAGCUAUAUGGAUGAAUGUAUAUAUUGUAAUGAAGAAGUUGUUCAUCUGUAUAUCUUAUCCUGCUUACACAUUUAGCAAAUUUGUAAUAAUAUGACUGAAUACUCUCCCAAGUAGUGUUGGACCUCGUUAACAUUGUCUGGUCGUACUGUCAUUGACUUCUCAGAUCCUUCAACAAGUGCAUUUAUAAAAGUUAGACCAUCAUCAUCUGUGGUAGACUUCAAUCACUUCAGUGAUAAAAUGGUGACCUUUCUUUGAAAGAGCCUGUUAGCUGUGGUUGAAAAUUGACCUCCAGAAUGGUGCUGUUACAGCUUGUUUAGCUUGACCUGAGCUACUCUACAUAUGCAUGACACGGGAGGCCAAAUGGCAGAAACGGCAGGUCGUGUUAACUUCAUUAAAUAGGGGAGCUUUUUCCUUUCUUGUUCUAUUUGGCUCACGGUUGCAUUGGAAACACCAGUUGCUGCUGCUCCUCGCUGCUUAAAAGCCCGAAUCGGAAACAUUAAUCCAGCUUCUUUUUUAAAGAAAGUUAGGACAUCGCUGACAAUUUCUCAACACUGAGAUGUCAAACGGCGAUCUUGUCUUGGCUGUUUGGACAAGGUGCACCCUUUCACAAUAAUAGACCCAACCAGUUGUGACACGGUCACAGGAUGCAUUAGUAUUCACUUGAUCAGGUCAAGCUGAACAAGCUGUAGGGAUGUGAGAAACUCUCAGGUACUGACUAACGUUUAGGGACAGGGCAAGAGGAUACAUAUGUAGUCAGUAUUUGAUCUACUAAUAUUCGUCAACAAUUAUUUGACAGAUUAUUAAUGAUCUCACAGAUGUCAUCUAACUUUCAAGGGGCAAUAAUUCAUGAAAUAUUGUGUGAUGUUUUAGGUGAAUAACAGCCAUUUACACUGAAAUAAUUUGACCCAGGAAUUGUGGUUGUGUUAGUAGUCAUUAGGCAAUCUUUAUCUAUAGAAAUGUAAUUCGUCUUCUGGCAAACAUUACCUGCAGGUUUUUAAAUGUAGCCAUUAGGUAAGUCAUCUGGGUCAGUGCUUGUGGAUAAUCAUUAUCAUCAGGUCAUGGCAUCUGAAAUUUGUUCUUUUUAUGACAUAGAUGUUCUUUCAUUGAAGAUAUUAUAUUUUUUUUGUUUUAAGGCUGAAUUUUAUCCAUUUUCAGUUUGUGCCCAAAAUGUUUGAGUCUGUUAACAUCAUUUUCAGUUUUUAGUGUUGUUGACUAAUAUUAGCCGACUUGACCAAAGAGACCUUUACUAGACUCUGGCAUUGGACUAGUGGCUAAAGUCAUGAUUUUGGCAAAAUACAUUCUGAAAAGAAUUCAGUUUGUGGUCAAGAUGCUGAAAUUAUCUGUUUCUCAAGCAUUUUGUUCAGCUGACCAGGGCACAGUUAUCCAGGUUAGAAAGAAAAAGGGUGAACUGGGUGCACCCUUGACUUUCAUGGAACCUAUAAACAGGCGCAAAAGAUUAAUAUUUUGGAACAUGGGUAUUUCUUUUUCCCUGAAUACCGGUCUUAAUGUCUCUCCACAAUUCCAUGAUUAGUUAAUUAGCUCUGUAAGGGUACACUUGUCAUGGGUUCGAAUCUCAGAUGUGCCCCAGUGUGGCUUCUUGACUUGUCAGCAGUGUAUCUGUACUCACAGGUUUCACCAAAGAGAGAAACGUCUUGGACCAUCAUCACUUUGGGCUUUCCUCCAACAUUAAGCUGACACCCUGUGACAUUACCAAUUUUUGUUCAAAUAGCAUUAUACAUACAGGUCUCUCAGACAGCAGUAAUCCGCAUGUUCGGUGUGAAAUCAUCUUAGCACUGCUUUGUUCCCACUGUAAUAUCUGCAAAUACCCAUUUUCUGUUAAAGCGUUUGUUUGUUAUGCCAAAGACCCAAGUUCGAUUCCCCACAUCGGUACAAUGUGUGAAGCCCAUUGCUAAAAGCAUCGUAAACCUAAACUCACUAAAUCAUACCCCAUUGUCUGUUAGGGUGGGUGAUUUUCUGACUGUUAGAUGGAUAGGAUAAAACAUCACUCCAAUAUUUGAGUUUGGGUAAAACCCAAAGGAUGCAAUGACUGAGCUAGUAAAAGUAAGGGCAUUAGCCCAAUUUACCUGGUAAGGCCAUCCCUGCCCAAAGGUUUUACUAUGUCUACAAAAAUCAAGGAGGUCUGUUUUGUCAAAGUUUGGUCUAAAUGGAAAAAAAAACAUUUAAGGAUAUUUGUUUGAUAUCAUAAGAGUGUAAAGAAACACUCAUAAAAUAUAUCUGCUUAAGAAAUGCUUGCUGAACAUUGUACCGUAUUAUGAACUGCUCUGUAUUACAUGCUCUGUGGACUUAUGUUCAGAGAGAGAGAGAGAGAGAGAGCCUCACUCCAUACCCAAAAUGAAAAAGAAUAAUUUCUUGCCAUUAAUUUAUAACAUUAAAUGUUGGAAAACUCCACCUGCUGCUCUGCUCGUGGGGUGUUACUGGUAAAAGUAUAUCUUACUUAAUGGUCAGUAUCUGUGAUAGGUUCAUAAGCUUGACCCUUGCCUCACCCAUUGCCUUUGAAUCUGAUGCAUGUUUUUAAGUGUGUCAGUUCAUGUGUCCAAUUAUUGUCAUCCAAAUGCAACAAAUGAAGUCCACACAUGGGGGUCUUGCACUGUGUAAUUGUACAUAGCUUUGUUGGCAUUUCCAGUGUGAAUAGCAGGUGACUGCAGAAAAUGGUCCGGGUGGAUAGAUUGGGAUGAGAGCAUGCUGACCUUUGAACAAUAACCUAUUGGCAGUGUUUGAAAUUAACAUUUUGACGGCCACAACGAGUAUACUCGUAGAAUCAAUGUCUGGCCCAAUUUGCCACAAUGAGUUAUCUCGUAGCUAUAUCAGUGGUAUUUUAAAACAAGUUUCACAUGUUGGCAAAACAGGCACGAGAAGCAAUCGUCACCUGGCGGUAACCAAGAACACCAAGAAACGUUUAUUUCUUGUGUCUAUUUUGCCAACAUGUGAAACUUGUUUCAAAAUACCACUGAUGUAGCUAUGGGGUAACUCGUAGAGGCAAAUUCAGCCAGAAUUGAUACUACGAGUAUACUUGUGAUAGGCAGUCAACGUGUUAAAUAGGAUCCAAGGCCCAGUUUCACAGUACGAUCUCAGCAUUUAGGUGAUCGAACCUUUCAUACUUUAACAUUGGCCUGAGAUCAACGUAGUACUGAAAGCAUUUGUGGAAUAGGGUACUGGGGUCCGUGAAAUUUGCAUUCUUAGUAUUUGAAUCUUAGACUCUUUCCUCCUUCAACAUAACUUCAUUUAUAACUUUAAUCAGGUUAUGACAAAGAUCCCUUUACUUGGAAACUUACUUUCAAACACAGCUGGGUCCAUGUUCAGCGAACCACAGCUGGGUUCUGUUGAUGGGAUGGAGAGCUGGGUUAGAAUUGGUCUUGAGCAACCCUUUUUGGUUGUAAGAGGUGACUAUCAUGAUCGGGUGAUCAGGCUCUACUGACUUGGUUGAUGCAUGUCAUCGUAACCCGAUUGCAUAGAUUGAUGUUCAUGAUGUCAAUCACUGGAUUGUCUAGUCCAGACAUGAUUCUUUACAGAACACCAUCAUGUAGCUGGAAUAUGCGGAGUUCAACAACAAAGGAACUCUUACAGUUUGUCAAUAAUAUUGCUGACGAUAUGAAAUAUGUUAUGAAACCCCAAUGAGUCAUUUCACAUAUUGGUAUGAUCUCAAUCCUUAUCACCUAUUACAACAGGAAUUUAAUGCUCAGGAUCUAGUGUUCACUCCUUAUAUAAUCAAAACGCGUGAAAUCACAUGGCACAGGGUCUCACAUAUUUUCAGGCAAUGUGAGCAGUUUGCAGCAACUCACAAAGUCUAGUCCAUUUUAUGGACCUGGGAUAUGCUGUGAUAAUGUCUCUGUUAAAAAAGUGAAAAUGGGCAGGGAUUGUUGUAAUAGAAAUAUGAUGUACAGAAAUGGUUAGGGAUCAUGAAUAGUAUUUUGUUUUGUAGUGAAGCCUGAGCAUACAAUUACAUAGAAAAAAUAAAUCCCCCGAAAAAGUCAUGAUACUUUUGUUGUUCAGCCUUGCAACUUCUAUUUUGUUUCUGAUUCAUGAUUUGGAGUAGUCAUAAUUCUGUAAAUUUCCCUUAUUCCAAUGCAUCAAUACUAUUGGUUGAUAACUUACUUGAUUAAAUGCUACUUUAGGAGCAUCGGGGAUGGGAUUUUCGAAGUUGAGAUAUACAUGUAACAUGCAAAUUACCCACAUGUUGGAGCAUCAUUGCCAAUAGAUAUCCCAGGUGACUAAGUUUGUAAUGAAGAAAUGAUAUAUUUGUUUAAUUAAAUGGUUUUAAAUACUUUGAAAUGGCAACAAGCCGUUUCUGUGCAUGUAGUAAUCAUUGUUAAUAUACAACUGAUAUUUGACACAAUAUCCAAGGAGUUAGCAUACAUUAUUGAAUCUGCGUAGACAGUAUUGUUAGACAUUUGUAACUUAUCAACUGUACAGUUCUAAUAAUUAAAAUGCUCGUAUGAAUGUCUGUGUAAAUGUGAUGUCCUCCUUCAUGUCGACCUUGUCAAACAUCAUAUUAUACUCUUGCUAUGAGCAGUUAUCCAAAUGUAUAUAUAUCAUGCAAAUAUUGUAAAUAAACAUCAAUCAAAUCUU
This 8576-nucleotide unclassified non-coding RNA is filed under the name Haliotis rubra (blacklip abalone). RNAcentral's name for it is "muskelin-like, transcript variant X1". The record is from RNAcentral. Lineage: Eukaryota; Metazoa; Mollusca; Gastropoda; Lepetellida; Haliotidae.